Molecule: ribosomal RNA, 484 nt
Filed under: uncultured bacterium
Lineage: Bacteria
Description: partial 16S ribosomal RNA
Rfam family: Bacterial small subunit ribosomal RNA
Source: RNAcentral
AUUGAACGCUGGCGGCAGGCCUAACACAUGCAAGUCGAGCGGAUGAAGGGAGCUUGCUCCUGGAUUCAGCGGCGGACGGGUGAGUAAUGCCUAGGAAUCUGCCUGGUAGUGGGGGAUAACGUCCGGAAACGGGCGCUAAUACCGCAUACGUCCUGAGGGAGAAAGUGGGGGAUCUUCGGACCUCACGCUAUCAGAUGAGCCUAGGUCGGAUUAGCUAGUUGGUGGGGUAAAGGCCUACUAAGGCGACGAUCCGUAACUGGUCUGAGAGGAUGAUCAGUCACACUGGAACUGAGACACGGUCCAGACGCCUACGGGAGGCAGCAGUGGGGAAUAUUGGGCAAUGGGCGAAAGCCUGAUCCAGCCAUGCCGCGUGUGUGAAGAAGGUCUUCGGAUUGUAAAGCACUUUAAGUUGGGAGGAAGGGCAGUAAGUUAAUACCUUGCUGUUUUGACGUUACCAACAGAAUAAGCACCGGCUAACUUCGUG